CGGGACCCGCCUCCUCCACACGGGACCCUCCUCCUCCACACGGGACCCUCCUCCUCCACACAGACCCGCCUCCUCCACACGGACCCGCCUCCACACGGACCCACCUCCACACGGACCCACCUCCUCCACACGGACCCGCCUCCUCCACACCGACCCGCCUCCUCCACACGGGACCCUCCUCCUCCACACGGGACCCUCCUCCUCCACACAGACCCGCCUCCACACGGACCCACCUCCUCCACACGGACCCGCCUCCUCCACACGGACCCGCCUCCUCCACACAGACCCGCCUCCUCCACACGGACCCGCCUCCACACGGACCCACCUCCUCCACACGGACCCGCCUCCUCCACACGGACCCGCCUCCUCCACACAGACCCGCCUCCUCCACACGGACCCGCCUCCACACGGACCCACCUCCUCCACACGGACCCGCCUCCUCCACACGGACCCGCCUCCUCCACACGGGACCCGCCUCCUCCACACAGACCCGCCUCCACACGGACCCACCUCCUCCACACGGGACCCUCCUCCUCCACACGGGACCCGCCUCCUCCACACGGACCUGCCUCCUCCACACGGACCCGCCUCCUCCACACGGACCCGCCUCCUCCACACAGACCCGCCUCCUCCACACAGACCCGCCUCCUCCACACGGACCCGCCUCCACACGGACCCACCUCCUCCACACGGACCCGCCUCCUCCACACGGACCCGCCUCCUCCACACGGGACCCUCCUCCUCCACACAGACCCGCCUCCACACGGACCCACCUCCUCCACACGGACCCGCCUCCUCCACACGGACCCGCCUCCUCCACACAGACCCGCCUCCUCCACACGGACCCGCCUCCACACGGACCCACCUCCUCCACACGGACCCGCCUCCUCCACACGGACCCGCCUCCUCCACACGGGACCCGCCUCCUCCACACGGACCCGCCUCCUCCACACGGACCCGCCUCCUCCACACGGGACCCGCCUCCUCCACACGGGACCCGCCUCCUCCACACGGACCCGCCUCCUCCACACGGACCCGCCUCCUCCACACGGGACCCGCCUCCUCCACACGGGACCCUCCUCCUCCACACGGACCCGCCUCCUCCACACGGACCCGCCUCCUCCACACGGACCCGCCUCCACACGGACCCACCUCCUCCACACGGACCCGCCUCCUCCACACGGACCCGCCUCCUCCACACGGGACCCGCCUCCUCCACACGGGACCCUCCUCCUCCACACAGACCCGCCUCCUCCACACGGACCCGCCUCCUCCACACGGACCUGCCUCCUCCACACGGGACCCGCCUCUUCCACACGGACCCGCCUCCUCCACACGGACCCGCCUCCACACAGGGGACCCUCCUCCACACGGGACCCGCCUUCUCCACACGGACCCGCCUCCUCCACACGGACCCGCCUCCUCCACACGGACCCGCCUCCUCCACACGGACCCGCCUCCUCCACACGGACCCUCCUCCACACGGACCCGCCUCCUCCACACAGACCCGCCUCCACACAGGGGCUGCCUCCGCAAUGGGGCUGUUCCCACUGGGGGCUGCCGGGCUCCUGCUGGGUCUCGAUCCGCAGGCGUGGGACCCUCCAGCGCGUCUGCCCAUGCGGCUGCAGCCAGCGCCUCCACGAACCUCAUGAGCCCCGGGCCCUCGUCUGUGACACAGGCACUCAGCCACCUCAUCACGCUGCUGGGAAGGUUAUAUCACAAAUAACAGCAGGCCUGCGACGUGUGAAACGGCACGAGGGCCCACUUUUUAAUUAG
Callithrix jacchus (white-tufted-ear marmoset) is the source of this 1776-nucleotide long non-coding RNA. The record is from Ensembl. Lineage: Eukaryota; Metazoa; Chordata; Mammalia; Primates; Cebidae.